GAAUUUUGGACAAUGGGGGCAACCCUGAUCCAGCCAUCCCGCGUGUGCGAUGAAGGCCUUCGGGUUGUAAAGCACUUUAAGCAGUGAAGAAGACUCCAUGGUUAAUACCCAUGGACGAUGACAUUAGCUGCAGAAUAAGCAACGGCUAACUACGUGCCAGCAGCGGCGGUAAUACGUAGGGUGCAAGCGUUAAUCGGAAUUACGAGGCGUAAAGCGUGCGCAGGCGGUUCGGCAAGAAGGAUGUGAAAUCCCAGGGCUUAACCUUGGAACUGCAUUCUUAACUGCCGGGCUAGAGUAUGUCAGAGGGGGGUAGAAUUCCGCGUGUAGCAGUGAAAUGCGUAGAGAUGCGGAGGAAUACCGAUGGCGAAGGCAGCCCCCUGGGAUAAUACUGACGCUCAUGCACGAAAGCGUGGGGAGCAAAC
RNAcentral lists this ribosomal RNA (422 nucleotides) under uncultured bacterium. Its description in RNAcentral is "bacterial SSU rRNA". It matches the Rfam family "Bacterial small subunit ribosomal RNA", at positions 359 to 773 of the family's 1533-position model. The record is from RNAcentral.